RNAcentral lists this ribosomal RNA (749 nucleotides) under uncultured bacterium. Its description in RNAcentral is "bacterial SSU rRNA". It matches the Rfam family "Bacterial small subunit ribosomal RNA", at positions 28 to 776 of the family's 1533-position model. The record is from RNAcentral.
GAUUAACGCUGGCGGCAUGCCUAAUACAUGCAAAUCGAACGAAGUACUUGUACUUAGUGGUGAACGGGUGAGUAACACGUAUCCAAUCUACCUUUACGUUGGGGAUAACUGGUCGAAACACUACCUAAUACCGAAUAUCAACUUUUUCUCACAUGAGAUAAAGUUGAAAGGUCCCUUCAAGGACCGCCUUUAGAUGAGGGUGCGGCAUAUCAGAUAGUUGGUGAGGUAACGGCUCACCAAGUCGAUGACGUGUAGCUGUACUGAGAGGUAAAACAGCCACAAUGGGACUGACACACGGCCCAUACUCCUACGGGAGGCAGCAGUAGGGAAUUUUUCACAAUGGGCGAAAGCCUGAUGGAGCAAUGCCGCGUGAAUGAUGAAGGUCUUACAGAUUGUAAAAUUCUUUUAUUUGGGAAGAACGGUCAUAAUACGAAAUGAUUAUGAUUUGACUGUACCAUUUGAAUAAGUAUCGGCUAACUAUGUGCCAGCACCCGCGGUAAUACAUAGGAUGCAAGCGUUAUCCGGAUUUACUGGGCGUAAAACGAGCGCAGCGGAUUAGUAAGUUUGGUAUGAAAGACUUUUUGCUUAACAAGAGUUUGUAUCAAAAACUGCUAAUCUAGAGUGUAGUAGGGAGUUCUGGAAUUCCAUGUGGAGCGGUGGAAUGCGUAAUAUAUGGAAGAACACCGGUGGCGAAGGCAGAACUUAGGCUAUCACUGACGCUUAGCUCGAAAGUGUGGGGAGCAAAUAGG